GAUGAACGCUGGCGGCGUGCCUAAUACAUGCCAGUCGAGCGAACAGAUGAGGAGCUUGCUCCUCUGACGUUAGCGGCGGACGGGUGAGUAACACGUGGAUAACCUACCUAUAAGACUGGGAUAACUUCGGGAAACCGGAGCUAAUACCGGAUAAUAUAUUGAACCGCAUGGUUCAAUAGUGAAAGACGGUUUUGCUGUCACUUAUAGAUGGAUCCGCGCCGCAUUAGCUAGUUGGUAAGGUAACGGCUUACCAAGGCAACGAUGCGUAGCCGACCUGAGAGGGUGAUCGGCCCCACUAGAACUGAGACACGGUCCAGAACACGACGGGAGGCAGCCGUCGGGAAUCUUCCGCAUUGAGCGAAAGCCUGACGGAGCAACGCCGCGUGAGUGAUGAAGGUCUUCGGAUCGUAAAACUCUGUUAUCAGGGAAGAACAAAUGUGUAAGUAACUAUGCACGUCUUGACGGUACCUAAUCAGAAAGCCACGGCUAACUACGUG
This 497-nucleotide ribosomal RNA is filed under the name uncultured bacterium. RNAcentral's name for it is "partial 16S ribosomal RNA". It matches the Rfam family "Bacterial small subunit ribosomal RNA", at positions 28 to 507 of the family's 1533-position model. The record is from RNAcentral.